AGCGUACACGGUGGAUGCCCUGGCAGUCAGAGGCGAUGAAGGACGUGCUAAUCUGCGAUAAGCGUCGGUAAGGUGAUAUGAACCGUUAUAACCGGCGAUUUCCGAAUGGGGAAACCCAGUGUGUUUCGACACACUAUCAUUAACUGAAUCCAUAGGUUAAUGAGGCGAACCGGGGGAACUGAAACAUCUAAGUACCCCGAGGAAAAGAAAUCAACCGAGAUUCCCCCAGUAGCGGCGAGCGAACGGGGAGCAGCCCAGAGCCUGAAUCAGUGUGUGUGUUAGUGGAAGCGUCUGGAAAGGCGCGCGAUACAGGGUGACAGCCCCGUACACAAAAAUGCACAUGCUGUGAGCUCGAUGAGUAGGGCGGGACACGUGGUAUCCUGUCUGAAUAUGGGGGGACCAUCCUCCAAGGCUAAAUACUCCUGACUGACCGAUAGUGAACCAGUACCGUGAGGGAAAGGCGAAAAGAACCCCGGCGAGGGGAGUGAAAAAGAACCUGAAACCGUGUACGUACAAGCAGUGGGAGCACAGAGCAAUCUGUGUGACUGCGUACCUUUUGUAUAAUGGGUCAGCGACUUAUAUUCUGUAGCAAGGUUAACCGAAUAGGGGAGCCGAAGGGAAACCGAGUCUUAACUGGGCGUUAAGUUGCAGGGUAUAGACCCGAAACCCGGUGAUCUAGCCAUGGGCAGGUUGAAGGUUGGGUAACACUAACUGGAGGACCGAACCGACUAAUGUUGAAAAAUUAGCGGAUGACUUGUGGCUGGGGGUGAAAGGCCAAUCAAACCGGGAGAUAGCUGGUUCUCCCCGAAAGCUAUUUAGGUAGCGCCUCGUGAAUUCAUCUCCGGGGGUAGAGCACUGUUUCGGCAAGGGGGUCAUCCCGACUUACCAACCCGAUGCAAACUACGAAUACCGGAGAAUGUUAUCACGGGAGACACACGGCGGGUGCUAACGUCCGUCGUGAAGAGGGAAACAACCCAGACCGCCAGCUAAGGUCCCAAAGUCAUGGUUAAGUGGGAAACGAUGUGGGAAGGCCCAGACAGCCAGGAUGUUGGCUUAGAAGCAGCCAUCAUUUAAAGAAAGCGUAAUAGCUCACUGGUCGAGUCGGCCUGCGCGGAAGAUGUAACGGGGCUAAACCAUGCACCGAAGCUGCGGCAGCGACGCUGAUGCGUUGUUGGGUAGGGGAGCGUUCUGUAAGCCUGCGAAGGUGUGCUGUGAGGCAUGCUGGAGGUAUCAGAAGUGCGAAUGCUGACAUAAGUAACGAUAAAGCGGGUGAAAAGCCCGCUCGCCGGAAGACCAAGGGUUCCUGUCCAACGUUAAUCGGGGCAGGGUGAGUCGACCCCUAAGGCGAGGCCGAAAGGCGUAGUCGAUGGGAAACAGGUUAAUAUUCCUGUACUUGGUGUUACUGCGAAGGGGGGACGGAGAAGGCUAUGUUGGCCGGGCGACGGUUGUCCCGGUUUAAGCGUGUAGGCUGGUUUUCCAGGCAAAUCCGGAAAAUCAAGGCUGAGGCGUGAUGACGAGGCACUACGGUGCUGAAGCAACAAAUGCCCUGCUUCCAGGAAAAGCCUCUAAGCAUCAGGUAACAUCAAAUCGUACCCCAAACCGACACAGGUGGUCAGGUAGAGAAUACCAAGGCGCUUGAGAGAACUCGGGUGAAGGAACUAGGCAAAAUGGUGCCGUAACUUCGGGAGAAGGCACGCUGAUAUGUAGGUGAAGUCCCUCGCGGAUGGAGCUGAAAUCAGUCGAAGAUACCAGCUGGCUGCAACUGUUUAUUAAAAACACAGCACUGUGCAAACACGAAAGUGGACGUAUACGGUGUGACGCCUGCCCGGUGCCGGAAGGUUAAUUGAUGGGGUUAGCGCAAGCGAAGCUCUUGAUCGAAGCCCCGGUAAACGGCGGCCGUAACUAUAACGGUCCUAAGGUAGCGAAAUUCCUUGUCGGGUAAGUUCCGACCUGCACGAAUGGCGUAAUGAUGGCCAGGCUGUCUCCACCCGAGACUCAGUGAAAUUGAACUCGCUGUGAAGAUGCAGUGUACCCGCGGCAAGACGGAAAGACCCCGUGAACCUUUACUAUAGCUUGACACUGAACAUUGAGCCUUGAUGUGUAGGAUAGGUGGGAGGCUUUGAAGUGUGGACGCCAGUCUGCAUGGAGCCGACCUUGAAAUACCACCCUUUAAUGUUUGAUGUUCUAACGUGGACCCGUAAUCCGGGUUGCGGACAGUGUCUGGUGGGUAGUUUGACUGGGGCGGUCUCCUCCUAAAGAGUAACGGAGGAGCACGAAGGUUGGCUAAUCCUGGUCGGACAUCAGGAGGUUAGUGCAAUGGCAUAAGCCAGCUUGACUGCGAGCGUGACGGCGCGAGCAGGUGCGAAAGCAGGUCAUAGUGAUCCGGUGGUUCUGAAUGGAAGGGCCAUCGCUCAACGGAUAAAAGGUACUCCGGGGAUAACAGGCUGAUACCGCCCAAGAGUUCAUAUCGACGGCGGUGUUUGGCACCUCGAUGUCGGCUCAUCACAUCCUGGGGCUGAAGUAGGUCCCAAGGGUAUGGCUGUUCGCCAUUUAAAGUGGUACGCGAGCUGGGUUUAGAACGUCGUGAGACAGUUCGGUCCCUAUCUGCCGUGGGCGCUGGAGAAUUGAGGGGGGCUGCUCCUAGUACGAGAGGACCGGAGUGGACGCAUCACUGGUGUUCGGGUUGUCAUGCCAAUGGCACUGCCCGGUAGCUAAAUGCGGAAGAGAUAAGUGCUGAAAGCAUCUAAGCACGAAACUUGCCCCGAGAUGAGUUCUCCCUGACUCCUUGA
RNAcentral lists this ribosomal RNA (2789 nucleotides) under Escherichia coli. Its description in RNAcentral is "bacterial LSU rRNA". It matches the Rfam family "Bacterial large subunit ribosomal RNA". The record is from RNAcentral. RNAcentral also lists the same sequence under 1 other name. Lineage: Bacteria; Pseudomonadati; Pseudomonadota; Gammaproteobacteria; Enterobacterales; Enterobacteriaceae.